Molecule: transfer RNA, 78 nt
Filed under: subsurface metagenome
Description: tRNA-Phe
Rfam family: tRNA
About the family: Transfer RNA (tRNA) molecules are approximately 80 nucleotides in length. Their secondary structure includes four short double-helical elements and three loops (D, anti-codon, and T loops).
Source: RNAcentral
UGGCGAGGUAGCUCAGUCGGUAGAGCGAGAGACUGAAAAUCUCUGCGUCGGCGGUUCAAUUCCGUCCCUCGCCACCCA